This is an RNA transcript of Stegostoma tigrinum, 2332 nucleotides long. It is a transcript of the gene named family with sequence similarity 120 member B, with no coding region annotated. The transcript is spliced from 8 exons. The record is from RefSeq and is a predicted model, not a curated record. Lineage: Eukaryota; Metazoa; Chordata; Chondrichthyes; Orectolobiformes; Stegostomatidae.
CCUUCUAUCAAAUGAGACCAAGCAGGCCCUGUAGUUGCCUAUGCUGAAGAGGAUGUUGGCAGCAACCUUCUUCACGAGCAGCAGCCCAUACUGCGCUGUGACCCGGUGUGCCCAUACAACAGAUGGGAGUGUGGACCUUGUUAAAUAUCUGUUAAAGAGAGCUGCUGUGGCCAUUAUGGUCAACCAACCUCCUUUGUGCCACUUAUGAUGCUGUUCUGUUUGGGCCCAUUGACUGAGAGCAGCAAUGGGUGUGAGAGGCCUCCAGCAGUUUGUGGAACAUGCCUGUCCACAGUCAAACAUGUGGGUGAAUUUGAAGGACAUGGCAGAGCAGCAUCGCCGCUUGCAUCCUGGGCAUUCUCCCGUUGUGGUGGUGGAUGCUAUGGGAUGUCUCCGGUCCUGGUACACUGCAGAAGCCUGGGUGCAUGGUGGGCAGUGGCGUGAGUACUUGCGGAGCUUGGAAAACUUUACAGCUGCUUUUCGAUCCCUUGGCAUUGAGUUGGUGUUUAUCUUUGAUGGGGUAAUAGAUCAGAAGAAAAGGGACGAGUGGGUUAUGCGACGGCUGAGGAACAACAAAGAAAUCGCAAAAAUAUUUCGGCAUAUAAAAGAAAAGGCCAGUCAGCCAGGAAGAAACAUGUUCUUUAUUCCCUCUGGGCUGGGCACAUUCACUCGCUUUGCCUUGAAGUCUAUGUGCUUAAACACCAUGUGCUCCCUGCAGGAGGCUGAUUAUGAAAUCGCCAGUUAUGCCAGGUUAAAUGGUUGUAUGGCAGUCCUGGGCCAGGACACAGAUUUCCUCAUUUUCGACACGGUGCCGUAUCUUUCAGUUAAAGAGCUGCGUUUGAAUAAGAUGACAACGAUUAUGUAUUCCCGAGAAAACCUCUGCCAUUCCCUCCACCUGCAGCAGAUGGACCUGCCGCUUUUAGCUUGCCUUCUCAGCAAUGAUGUGGUGCCAGAAAAAGCAGUAGCAGGUUUGAAGCAGCAAUGUUUGGCUAGAUACGCUCCACAUAACUCCAAAGCGACUAAGAGAAAGGAGAUAGUCGAGGCAGUUGCACAUUAUAUCUCUGGUGUGACCCGUUCGUAUGAUGGAUUGAGAAAGAUAGAGAGAAAUCUGCAAUGCACUUCCAAUGAAAGACUACUGGAGCUGGGAAUGAGAACUUACUUAAUGCCCGGACAACACUCACCCUGGCUUCCUCACAUUGUGCCAUCUCCAGAGACAAGCCAAUGUGAAAACACCAUGUACUCAGACCAAAGGAUUUUACAAUUUGCAAGGGAGCGGCACAUCAAAGCAGAAAGCCGUGUAGUUUACAAAGUUCUGAAGGCUCGGGAAGUAGAUUGCAGCAAUUCUCUGGAGGACGAGUUGGAUACUGAACUUCCAGGACAAGCCAUUGUUUACCAACCUGCUCGACAGUCCAUUUAUGGCAUUAUUCUCUCAGCUGAAUCAAAAGGCCAACCUGAAACUACCAGAUCAUAUCCAUUAGUAAAGGAGUGGUUUGUAUAUCCAGGCAACACGCUGCAGCAGCCAAACCUUGUGCCAGCACAACCACCUAAUCUACCAGGAGGAAUUCCGGAUUUACAAACUUUGUGGCUGACAGAAGGGCCAGAGGUUAAGAAAUUACGUUACAGCAUAUUUCUCGCAUGUUUUGGCUUAUACGAUUUUGCUGAGGGGUUACUUCCACUUGAGCCUCCCAUUGCUGCUGUUUGCUGCCUGCUGACCUAUGUUACAGCGCAGGUAAACACGAUCUGUUGGGAGGACCUGGAUGCAUAUUUAUCUCAGGCUCUCAUUAUUCGGGACAAGACAGCUGAUCAGCUUGCUCAUAUAAAGGUGCCCCGUGUUGACUCUCGGGCUGUGCACCUGGCCUCCCUGUUUGUUCGAGGCCUGUCUGAGCUCCUUUCAGCUAAUAGUGCCUGUGGGUUUCCAUUUAAAAUGGGCGACCUGAUGCCGUGGGAGGUAUUUGAUGGAAAACUUUUCCACACAAAGUACCUGCAGUCUCACAGUGGAUGUCGAGCAGAGGACCUUCUAGAAAGGAAUGUAGGUAUACAGAUGGAGUGUGCAUGCUUGAGGUAAUUCUCAACUAAUAAUGGUGGUUUACAGUAUCAGCUAAUAGUGCCUGUGGGUUUCCAUUUAAAAUGGGCGACCUGAUGCCGUGGGAGGUAUUUGAUGGAAAACUUUUCCACACAAAGUACCUGCAGUCUCACAGUGGAUGUCGAGCAGAGGACCUUCUAGAAAGGAAUGAUAUUCUGCUGCAGGAAUUCCAGAAGCUGAAGUCCCUCAUUAAUAGUAUUUGUGUGAGAAAGAAAAGAGACAUACAGAGCCGGCCCCGGCUGUGCACAGCAG